Molecule: ribosomal RNA, 389 nt
Filed under: uncultured bacterium
Lineage: Bacteria
Description: bacterial SSU rRNA
Rfam family: Bacterial small subunit ribosomal RNA
Source: RNAcentral
AAUCAACGCUGGCGGCGUGCCUCAGACAUGCAAGUCGAACGAUUAAAGCUCUCUUCGGAGAGUGUAUAGAGUGGCGCACGGGUGAGUAACACGUAAGUAAUCUACCCUCGGGUGGGGAAUAACAUCGGGAAACCGAUGCUAAUACCGCAUAAUGCAGCGGCUCCUAAUGGAGACAGUUGUUAAAGGAUUUAUUCGCCUGGGGGAGGAGCUUGCGGCAGAUUAGCAGUUGGUAAGGUAAUGGCUUACCAAGGCUACGAUCUGUAGCCGGUCUAAGAGGACGGUCGGUCACACUGACACUGAAUAACGGGUCAGACUCCGUACGGGAGGCAGCAGGUCGGGUAAUUUGGGCAAUGGGCGAAAGCCUGACCCAGCAACGCCGCGUGAAGGAU